RNAcentral lists this long non-coding RNA (1786 nucleotides) under Homo sapiens (human). Its description in RNAcentral is "PREDICTED lncRNA (TCONS_00167636)". Lineage: Eukaryota; Metazoa; Chordata; Mammalia; Primates; Hominidae. The record is from RNAcentral.
GCAGCUCCGUCCUCCCAGGGGGCGCUGCAGGCACGUCUGCUUGGGCAGGGGCCCGGCGGAAGCGCCGCUCUAGGCUGCAGCCGCGCCCCCAGCCGUAUUUCCGCGGGCGCUGAGCACUAGAGAGAGCGUCUUGUGGCUGCGGCCUGCCCCUCAGCCUCCUCCGCGCGGUUACCCCUGUACCCGCCGCCAUCCGUCCUGGCGCUCCGGAUGAGUCAAUGAGGGGCAGGGCCCGAGGAGUGGUCUUCCCAAGAACCCCUGGUGGCCUCCCAAGGCCGGUGCUGUGUACCUCCUCCCCGACAAAAGGGGAAACUGAGGCCCCGAGGGGAGUGGGAAGAGCCGGCUGGACGUCAGGCCCAGCCGCUGGUGCAGUGGUCCGUCCCCUCUGCCGGGGUGGGCCCCUCGGGUUUCGCGUGUCCUCGGGAAAGAGACUGGCGGGUGAGCCGCGCCCUCGGCCUUCGCUGGGCUAAGCCGACCCCAUGCAGACGUCAAACCCCCCUAGGUCGGCACAGCCUCUCUGCGGGGAGGCUUAGUGCCCCCUUGAGAAACGGCUUGGCAACGCUGUGCCCGGGGCCUUGCACGCGGGCUGAGGGGGCUAGAGACCUCGCGACUUUUACUCCCCCGACCCCGAUCUCCGACUCCUGACUUUGGAAGCCCCCAAAGCUGCUUUUCGGUUGCCUACAAAGUGUCGGUCAUUGUGCCACGUCCUUGGAACCGUGAACUCAUUUUCUCCUCAAUAACCUUUAAAAAGUAGCUGUAAAACCUCCAUUUUACAGACCAGUUGGCUGAGGUUUAAAUGGAGGACGCUCCCAGGGCCCCAGAGGGGCGAAUUCCAGACUCCUUUGCCAGGACCUUGUACUAAGCCCCUUCCCUACGCUUUUCCCUGCCUAGGCCUCGUGGGCUGUGCGGCUAUCCUGGAGACAGAUGACAGCUCUCCCUUGGAUGGCUUUGCUGGUUCCGCACCAGCCAGCGCCCCCAUUUUUCCUGCAGCACCCUGAUCUGCACUCCCUGAGGGGCUCCCACUGUCCGCGGUGUGAGGAUGUCCCUGGAAAUUGGUCUUCUGUGACUUUCUUGAUGGGGGCAGAUGAGAUCUUUGUACUGCAUUAAGUGGAUAGCGCUCAGGUCCUUUGGGCUUGGCGCUUUGGCAAUCUCCAGGCAGCUCACUUUGGCCUCUGUUCCUGGAUCCCCUUUGCUCUUUUCUGCGCCUGCAUUCAUAGUCCACUGUGUGCAGAGGCAUGGGAGUUGUCAUGUUGGGAACAUGCUAGACCUCAGUAUCCUUGAGGGAUGCUGCCUUGGGUCUGGAAACUGUUAGAGGAAACCCCAAGAGGUGCAGGCACUGAGCCUCUCAGGACAAUGACCUGGGGUCCCAGCUCCCCUGGAGGGGCCUCCUCAUGAUUGUUUGGGGGUUGAUCACAGACCAAGAGUGACGAGUGAUGUCACCCUGUGACUCAUGGCUGGACCUUCUUGCCCCUAUUGUCUCAGCACAACAUUAUUCGACUUUUCCCUCAGCGUGGGUGGGCAGAGGAAAAGCCCUGUGGCUCUGGGGACUUGGGAUCCAGAGUUGAAGACCCUUCAGCUGGCUCUGCCCUGCCAGUGCCACAGAGUGCCAUGGCCCAGGAAGACAGGUUUUCUUCCAUCUAGGCCAGGCCAUCCAGUGGCCAUCCUCCGUGUCCUCCCGCCUCCUCCUGGUGUGACUUCUGAAAACCAAGAAUUUGUUCCUGUUGACUUUUUCUGUGCUAUGGACCAUUGUCCUCUCACCCACUCAAUAAAUCUUGAAACAUGCCCUGCU